Molecule: ribosomal RNA, 253 nt
Filed under: uncultured bacterium
Lineage: Bacteria
Description: partial 16S ribosomal RNA
Rfam family: Bacterial small subunit ribosomal RNA
Source: RNAcentral
UACGUAGGGUGCGAGCGUUAAUCGGAAUUACUGGGCGUAAAGCGUGCGCAGGCGGUUCGUUAUGUCCGAUGUGAAAGCCCCGAGCUUAACUUGGGAAUGGCAUUGGAAACUGGCGGGCUUGAGUGUGGCAGAGGGGGGUGGAAUUCCACGUGUAGCAGUGAAAUGCGUAGAGAUGUGGAGGAACACCGAUGGCGAAGGCAGCCCCCUGGGCUAACACUGACGCUCAUGCACGAAAGCGUGGGGAGCAAACAGG